GAGAGAUUUAUGAUUCUUUUGAUUGUACGGAUAAUGUGCACCUCAUUGAUGAUGUUGGAAACUGCUCUGGCUGCUCAAGUGGUCAAAUGUUGGAUUCUCCAUUGCUCCGGAAGAGAAAACUCUUGCCAAUGGAACUGCAUAUCAAUGGCCAGAGAGUUGUGGAUCUUCGAGACUGCUUGAGGAAACGCAGGGUAAUUGAUGGCCAUCCAGUGAUUCGACCAUCAAGAAGGCAUGACUCUUCUCGUCUGCAUGAUCGAAGUCGGGAAAGGCCUCGAAGACCUAGUUUGAGUCAGCGGCUGCAUGGAAGGCUGGCAUCAGAGGUGGGAAAGAAUACUAUUGGGUCACUCGGAGAUAAUGGAAUUAUGUUAAAUGGUGCUAACCCGCGUGGCUGGC
RNAcentral lists this unclassified non-coding RNA (393 nucleotides) under Hevea brasiliensis (rubber tree). Lineage: Eukaryota; Viridiplantae; Streptophyta; Magnoliopsida; Malpighiales; Euphorbiaceae. The record is from RNAcentral.